Molecule: transfer RNA, 101 nt
Filed under: Thermoproteus sp. CIS_19
Lineage: Archaea; Thermoproteati; Thermoproteota; Thermoprotei; Thermoproteales; Thermoproteaceae
Also listed under: 1 other name
Description: tRNA-Leu
Source: RNAcentral
GCGGGGGUGCCCGAGCCAGGUCAAAGGGGCAGGGUUGAGGUCCCUGUGGCGUAGGCCUGCGUGGGUUCAGGCGACGCCGCCCACAAAUCCCACCCCCCGCA